CCCCAAAUCUCCAGGUGACACCUGGCUGUCCCCCCAAGCCCUUGGUGGUCCCUGAGGGGGACCCAAACUGUUGGGGACACUUGUUCAGCAGGUGACAGGAGUCACGGGGGGGGGGUGGGCUUUGGAUUCAUCCCCCAGGUGGGGUCACCUGCCCCAAAGAGCUGCCAGGAUCGGGGGGAACACCCCAAAGUCCUGGGGCAGCUUCUGCUCCUCCCGAGGUUGGAAAAGGUGGGAAAAGGUGGGAAAAGGUGGGAAAGCUUCUGCUCCUCCUGUCCCAGGUAGGACCAUCCCCUCCCCAGCCCCCAGUCCUGUCAGACAGGGAAGGGAAAAGGGAAAAGGGGGAAUGGAAGGGGGAAAGGAAGGGAAUCCCACGGAUUUUGGGGGUCCCAGGUACUCACCCACUGCUCCUUCUGGGGUGAGGGACCCUCCCUCUGCACACGGGGCUGGAUGGGGCUCCUGACCCCUGGCCUGGGCUGGGGGCGCCUGGGGACUCCCAGGUUUCAGGGUUCCUGGGGUUUCAGGGUUCCUGGGGUUUUGGGGUUCCCGAGGUUUCAGGGCUCCCAGGGUUUCAGGGCUCCGGCUUUCUCCUGUCCUGGCUGCAGCUCUCAGGAAAUCUGGGUUCAGGCUCUCUGGGUUUUGAGGUCUCUGCGCUCCGACUUUCCAGGAUUUGGGGUCUCUGGGCUCUGGGUUUUAGGGUCUCUGGGCUCCAGCUCUCUGGGUUUUGGGGUCUGUGGGCUCCGUUUUUUGGGGUCUCUGGGCUCUGACUCUGCAGGUUUUGGGGUCUCCGGGUUUUGGGGUGUCUGUUUUCUGGCUCUUCAGGAUCUGGGGUCUCUGUGCUCCGGCUCUGCAGGUUUUGGGGUCUCUGGGCCCUGGCUCUCUGGUUUUGGGGUGUCUGUUCUCCGGCUCCUCAGGAUUUGUCGUCUCUGGUUCUCCUGUUUUUGGGGUCUCUGAGCUCUGGCUCUCUGGGCUUUAGGGUCUCUGGGCUCCAACUCUGCAGGAGUUGGGGUCUUUAGGCUCCAGCUGUGCAGGUUUUGGGGUCUCUGGGCUCCAGCUCUCUGGUUUUCAGGUCUCUGGGCACUGGUUCUGCAGGAUUUGGGGUCUCUGUUCUCCGACUCUGCAGGAGUUGGGGUCUCUGGCUUUGGCUCUGCAGGAUUUGGAGUCUCUGGGCUCCAGCUCUCUGGGUUUUGGGGUGUCUGGGUUCCGUUUUUUGUGGUCUCUGGGCUCCGGUUUUGGGGGUCUCUGGCUCUGUCUCUCUGGGGUUCUGCCCCUCCUGGUUUUGGGGCUCCAGCUCCUGGGGCUCCUCCGAGUUUUGGGGUGCCUGGCUUUGGCCUGGAGGGACACAAAACAUUGGAGAUGUUCCCGUGCUGAGCUUUGGCUGCUCCCAUGCUCCCCAAAAACCUGGGAGCCCCAGGAUCCCCCCAAAAGAUCCCCCCAAAAGAUGGAGGAGUUUGGGCAAAGGUGACUCAUUCAGGAGAAACAGAAAAGUUUCAAGGAGAAAUCCUUGGAUUUCUCUCUGCUGCUGCUGCUGGGAGGAGACACAAAUAACCCGGGAGAGAAGACUAAUUAACGAGCCAAUUAAUCAGACAUUUGUGAUUCCAGGCUGGAUGCAGGUGGGCAUCCAGCUCCAGAUCCUUUCCCCAUCACACAUCCCGAUUUUCACACUUUUUGGGGCAUUUUUUGGCAUUUCAUGUGACAAAUCAUUUAUGCAGAUGGUGGUGAGGGCAGGCAGGGAGGAGCAGGCACGGAGCAACAGAUGGAGGGAAGGCAUAAAAUGCAUAAAAUAUUAACAAAAAUAUUAAAAAAUAAAGAAAGAGGGGGGGAAAAGGUGAGAGAAGGA
Molecule: long non-coding RNA, 1837 nt
Filed under: Zonotrichia albicollis (white-throated sparrow)
Lineage: Eukaryota; Metazoa; Chordata; Aves; Passeriformes; Passerellidae
Description: lncRNA (ENSZALG00000000935.1)
Source: RNAcentral